UACGGAAGGUCCGGGCGUUAUCCGGAAUUAUUGGGCGUAAAGGGAGCGCAGGUGGGAAUGUAAGUCAGUCUUAAAAGUGCGGGGCUCAACCCCGUGAGGGGAUUGAAACUACAUUUCUUGAGUGCAGGAGAGGAAAGUGGAAUUCCUAGUGUAGCGGUGAAAUGCGUAGAGAUUAGGAGGAACACCAGUGGCGAAGGCGACUUUCUGGACUGUAACUGACACUGAGGCUCGAAAGCCAGGGGAGCGAACGGGAUUAGAUACCCCGGUAGUCCUGGCCGUAAACGAUGGAUACUAGGUGUGGGAGGUAUCGGCCCCUUCCGUGCCGGAGUUAACGCAAUAAGUAUCCCGCCUGGGGAGUACGGCCGCAAGGCUGAA
This 375-nucleotide ribosomal RNA is filed under the name uncultured bacterium. RNAcentral describes it as "bacterial SSU rRNA". It matches the Rfam family "Bacterial small subunit ribosomal RNA", at positions 524 to 898 of the family's 1533-position model. The record is from RNAcentral.